RNAcentral lists this ribosomal RNA (229 nucleotides) under uncultured bacterium. RNAcentral describes it as "partial 16S ribosomal RNA". It matches the Rfam family "Bacterial small subunit ribosomal RNA", at positions 568 to 796 of the family's 1533-position model. The record is from RNAcentral.
UGCGCAGGCGGGAAAUUAAGUCAGUGGUGAAAUCCUGCAGCUUAACUGUAGAAUUGCCAUUGAAACUGAUUUUCUUGAGUGCAGUUGAGGUGGGCGGAAUGUGUAAUGUAGCGGUGAAAUGCUUAGAUAUUACACAGAACACCGAUUGCGUAGGCAGCUCACUAAACUGUUACUGACGCUCAGGCACGAAAGCGUGGGGAGCGAACAGGAUUAGAUACCCUGGUAGUCC